This 29-nucleotide small RNA is filed under the name Bombyx mori (domestic silkworm). RNAcentral describes it as "ovarian small RNA-4049". The record is from RNAcentral. Lineage: Eukaryota; Metazoa; Arthropoda; Insecta; Lepidoptera; Bombycidae.
UUCGUCAUGAGUCUCGUUUUCUCAAUGUC